Molecule: non-coding RNA, 65 nt
Organism: Dipodomys ordii (Ord's kangaroo rat)
Lineage: Eukaryota; Metazoa; Chordata; Mammalia; Rodentia; Heteromyidae
Source: Rfam
GGUGGCUCAGUGGUAGAGUGCUUGUCUCCAAUGCAUGAGGCCUUGGGUUCGAUUCCUCAGCACCA